CUUCUUCCACUAACUGGGGACAGAUAAAAUGAACAUGGCUAUCGAUACCUCCUGCGGUGAGAAUCUUGCCUUCCCCAGCAAUAACUUCAGUCGCGGCCCCAAUAUUAAUAUCUACGUUAGGUUGGGUGUCAGGGUUCCCGGCUUUGCCUAUCGCCGCGAUACGACCAUCCUUGAUGCCCACAUCAGCCUUGAUGAUUCCCCAAUGGUCUACAAUGAGAGCAUUGGUAAUCACCAAAUCCAUGACCUGAUCCCUGGAAAGCUGGCUUUGGCCCAUCCCAUCACGGAUG
RNAcentral lists this small RNA (287 nucleotides) under Nitrosococcus oceani ATCC 19707. RNAcentral describes it as "5' ureB small RNA". It matches the Rfam family "5' ureB small RNA". Lineage: Bacteria; Pseudomonadati; Pseudomonadota; Gammaproteobacteria; Chromatiales; Chromatiaceae. The record is from Rfam by way of RNAcentral.